GCGUCGGUGGUAUAAUGGUCAGCAUAGCUGCCUUCCAAGNAGUUGAUCCGGGUUCGAUUCCCGGCCGACGCA
This 72-nucleotide transfer RNA is filed under the name Exaiptasia diaphana. RNAcentral's name for it is "tRNA-Gly". It matches the Rfam family "tRNA". From Rfam's summary of the family: Transfer RNA (tRNA) molecules are approximately 80 nucleotides in length. Their secondary structure includes four short double-helical elements and three loops (D, anti-codon, and T loops). Further hydrogen bonds mediate the characteristic L-shaped molecular structure. tRNAs have two regions of fundamental functional importance: the anti-codon, which is responsible for specific mRNA codon recognition, and the 3' end, to which the tRNAs corresponding amino acid is attached (by aminoacyl-tRNA synthetases). tRNAs cope with the degeneracy of the genetic code in two manners: having more than one tRNA (with a specific anti-codon) for a particular amino acid; and 'wobble' base-pairing, i.e. permitting non-standard base-pairing at the 3rd anti-codon position. The record is from RNAcentral. Lineage: Eukaryota; Metazoa; Cnidaria; Anthozoa; Actiniaria; Aiptasiidae.